This 433-nucleotide unclassified non-coding RNA is filed under the name soil metagenome. RNAcentral describes it as "partial contains 5.8S ribosomal RNA, internal transcribed spacer 2, and large subunit ribosomal RNA". The stretch from base 1 to 120 matches the Rfam family "5.8S ribosomal RNA", at positions 35 to 154 of the family's 154-position model. The record is from RNAcentral.
GAUGAAGAACGUAGCGAAAUGCGAUACGUAAUGUGAAUUGCAGAAUUCAGUGAAUCAUCGAAUCUUUGAACGCAUAUUGCGCUCUCUGGUAUUCCGGAGAGCAUGCUUGUUUGAGUAUCAGUAAACACCUCAACUUCCAUAUCUUUUUUGAAAUGGGAGUUGGACUUGAGUGAUCCCAACGCUUUUCCUCACCGAAAAGUGGCGGGUUACUUGAAAUGCAGGUGCAGCUGGACUUUUCUCUGAGCUAUAAGCAUAUCUAUUUAGUCUGCCUAAAAAACAGAUUAUUACCUUUGCUGCAGCUAACAUAAAGGAGAUUAGUUCUUGUGCUGACUGAUGCAGGAUUCACAAAGACAGGCUUCGGCCGACUUUGUAAACUCGAUCUCAAAUCAAGUAAGACUACCCGCUGAACUUAAGCUUAUCAAUAAGCGGAGGA